This 624-nucleotide long non-coding RNA is filed under the name Rattus norvegicus (Norway rat). RNAcentral describes it as "long non-coding RNA NONRATT032903". The record is from RNAcentral. Lineage: Eukaryota; Metazoa; Chordata; Mammalia; Rodentia; Muridae.
AAGAACACUAAUAUCUUUUUGUCACUUUUAAAAAUUAUUUUCAUUAUUUGUGUAUUUUAAGUUAUGGCACUUUGGAAAAUAUAAACAUUUGGACAUAUCAUUGUAUUGAGGGACAGUUUAAACACAGUAACUUCAUCAUUCCAAAAAGGAGCCAUCAGUUUCUACAGUGGCCUGGAUGGUAGAGGGAGAUAAGGACAGACCAGAGAGGGACAAGGCACUGAUGCUCACUGUUGUCCAGGCUAUAUAAUCCUCAGGUCACAGUUUUGUUCAGAUCUUUUCCUUCAAGCCUUUAAAAACAAUCUCAACAGUACUAGCUAAAUAUUAGCUUAUUGCUUCCUUUAAAGCACACGGAAGACUAGAUGACGUCCUUUGGGGAGUGCGCAUUCUGAGAAAACUUACAUGAAGCAUCUAUAACCGCGCCCAGCUUAAGAUAAGGCACACCUCGUUUCACCUCUUUGUGCUUCUGCACAGAAAAUCAGACCUUCUGUUGCAAGAUGGCCCUAAGGAUUUGACAUUGAUCACCAUCAUAGAAUUGGAACUUACAAAUAUUUUUCUCUUGGUAAGUAACAAAAAUUAAAAACUACUUUGAUUUUUUUUACACAUUUUAAGUAUAUCUUUGGAAAU